This 253-nucleotide ribosomal RNA is filed under the name uncultured bacterium. Its description in RNAcentral is "partial 16S ribosomal RNA". It matches the Rfam family "Bacterial small subunit ribosomal RNA", at positions 524 to 776 of the family's 1533-position model. The record is from RNAcentral.
GACAGAGGGUGCAAACGUUGUUCGGAAUUAUUGGGCGUAAAGGGCGCGUAGGCGGUGCGGUAAGUCACCUGUGAAAUCUCCUGGCUCAACUGGGAGCUUGCAGGCGAAACUGCCGUGCUGGAGUGUGGGAGAGGUGCGUGGAAUUCCUGGUGUAGCGGUGAAAUGCGUAGAUAUCAGGAGGAACACCUGUGGCGAAAGCGGCGCACUGGACCACAACUGACGCUGAGGCGCGAAAGCUAGGGGAGCAAACAGG